This 253-nucleotide ribosomal RNA is filed under the name uncultured bacterium. RNAcentral describes it as "partial 16S ribosomal RNA". It matches the Rfam family "Bacterial small subunit ribosomal RNA", at positions 524 to 776 of the family's 1533-position model. The record is from RNAcentral.
UACGUAGGGGGCUAGCGUUGUCCGGAAUCAUUGGGCGUAAAGCGCGUGUAGGCGGUCCGGUAAGUCCGCUGUGAAAGUCGAGGGCUCAACCCUCGAAUGCCGGUGGAUACUGUCGGGCUAGAGUCCGGAAGAGGCGAGUGGAAUUCCUGGUGUAGCGGUGAAAUGCGCAGAUAUCAGGAGGAACACCAAUGGCGAAGGCAGCUCGCUGGGACGGUACUGACGCUGAGGCGCGAAAGCGUGGGGAGCAAACAGG